GCAAGUCGAACGAUGAAGCCCUUCGGGGUGGAUUAGUGGCGAACGGGUGAGUAACACGUGGGCAAUCUGCCCUGCACUCUGGGACAAGCCCUGGAAACGGGGUCUAAUACCGGAUACUGAUCGCCUUGGGCAUCCUUGGUGAUCGAAAGCUCCGGCGGUGCAGGAUGAGCCCGCGGCCUAUCAGCUUGUUGGUGAGGUAAUGGCUCACCAAGGCGACGACGGGUAGCCGGCCUGAGAGGGCGACCGGCCACACUGGGACUGAGACACGGCCCAGACUCCUACGGGAGGCAGCAGUGGGGAAUAUUGCACAAUGGGCGAAAGCCUGAUGCAGCGACGCCGCGUGAGGGAUGACGGCCUUCGGGUUGUAAACCUCUUUCAGCAGGGAAGAAGCGAAAGUGACGGUACCUGCAGAAGAAGCGCCGGCUAACUACGUGCCAGCAGCCGCGGUAAUUCA
Molecule: ribosomal RNA, 454 nt
Filed under: Streptomyces sp. HVYN-7-1
Lineage: Bacteria; Bacillati; Actinomycetota; Actinomycetes; Kitasatosporales; Streptomycetaceae
Description: bacterial SSU rRNA
Rfam family: Bacterial small subunit ribosomal RNA
Source: RNAcentral